RNAcentral lists this ribosomal RNA (253 nucleotides) under uncultured bacterium. Its description in RNAcentral is "partial 16S ribosomal RNA". It matches the Rfam family "Bacterial small subunit ribosomal RNA", at positions 524 to 776 of the family's 1533-position model. The record is from RNAcentral.
UACGAAGGGGGCUAGCGUUGCUCGGAAUUACUGGGCGUAAAGGGCGCGUAGGCGGACAGUUUAGUCAGAGGUGAAAGCCCAGGGCUCAACCUUGGAAUUGCCUUUGAUACUGGCUGUCUUGAGUUCGGGAGAGGUGAGUGGAAUGCCGAGUGUAGAGGUGAAAUUCGUAGAUAUUCGGCGGAACACCAGUGGCGAAGGCGACUCACUGGCCCGAUACUGACGCUGAGGCGCGAAAGCGUGGGUAGCAAACAGG